RNAcentral lists this ribosomal RNA (253 nucleotides) under uncultured bacterium. RNAcentral's name for it is "partial 16S ribosomal RNA". It matches the Rfam family "Bacterial small subunit ribosomal RNA", at positions 524 to 776 of the family's 1533-position model. The record is from RNAcentral.
UACAGAGGGGGCAAGCGUUGUUCGGAAUUACUGGGCGUAAAGGGCGCGUAGGCGGCCUUCUAAGUCGAACGUGAAAUCCCUCGGCUUAACCGGGGAACUGCGUCCGAUACUGGAGGGCUUGAGUGUGGGAGAGGGAUGCGGAAUUCCAGGUGUAGCGGUGAAAUGCGUAGAUAUCUGGAGGAACACCGGUGGCGAAGGCGGCAUCCUGGACCAUGACUGACGCUGAGGAGCGAAAGCCAGGGGAGCAAACGGG